GAUGAACGCUGGCGGCGUGCCUAAUACAUGCAAGUCGAGCGAACGGACGAGAAGCUUUCUUCUUUGAUGUUAGCGUCGGACGGGUGAGUAACACGUGGAUAACCUACCUAUAAGACUGGGAUAACUUCGGGAAACCGGCGCUAAUACCGGAUGAUAUUCUGAACCGCAUGGUUCAUAAGUGAAAGACGGUCUUCCUGUCACUUAUUGACGGAUCCCUGCUGCGUUAGAUAGUUGGUAAGGUCACGGCUUUCUACGGCAACGAUGAGUAGCCGACCUGAGAGGGUGGAAGACCACACUGGAAAAAAAACACGGUCCGGACGACUGAGGUAGGCAGCAGUAGGAAAUCUUGCGCAGUGGGCGGAAGCCUGACGCAGCAGCGGCGCGUGGGUGAUAAAGGUAUGCGGAUCGGAAAACUCUGUUAUUAGGGAGGAAGAUAUGUAUAAGUAACUGAGGACAUCUUGACGGUACCUAGUCAAAAAGCCACGGCUAACUUCGUG
RNAcentral lists this ribosomal RNA (497 nucleotides) under uncultured bacterium. RNAcentral's name for it is "partial 16S ribosomal RNA". It matches the Rfam family "Bacterial small subunit ribosomal RNA", at positions 28 to 507 of the family's 1533-position model. The record is from RNAcentral.